Molecule: ribosomal RNA, 804 nt
Filed under: Brunswickiella parsonsiae
Lineage: Eukaryota; Fungi; Ascomycota; Dothideomycetes; Mycosphaerellales; Mycosphaerellaceae
Description: LSU rRNA
Rfam family: Eukaryotic large subunit ribosomal RNA
Source: RNAcentral
ACGGCGAGUGAAGCGGCAACAGCUCAAAUUUGAAAUCUGGCGUAAGCCCGAGUUGUAAUUUGUAGAGGAUGCUUCUGGGCAGCGGCCGUUCUAAGUUCCUUGGAACAGGACGUCAUAGAGGGUGAGAAUCCCGUAUGUGACCGGCACGUACCCUCCACGUAGCUCCUUCGACGAGUCGAGUUGUUUGGGAAUGCAGCUCUAAAUGGGAGGUAAAUUUCUUCUAAAGCUAAAUACCGGCCAGAGACCGAUAGCGCACAAGUAGAGUGAUCGAAAGAUGAAAAGCACUUUGGAAAGAGAGUUAAAAAGCACGUGAAAUUGUUGAAAGGGAAGCGCUUACAACCAGACUUCGUGGCGGUGUUCCGCCGGUCUUCUGACCGGUCCACUCGCCGCCGCGAGGCCAGCAUCGUCUGGGGCCGCCGGAUAAGACCUUGGGAAUGUAGCUUGCCUCGGUAAGUGUUAUAGCUCAGGGUGAUGCGGCGUGCCUCGGGCGAGGUCCGCGCUUCGGCAAGGAUGCUGGCGUAAUGGUUGUCAGCGGCCCGUCUUGAAACACGGACCAAGGAGUCUAACAUCUAUGCGAGUGUUCGGGUGUCAAACCCCUACGCGUAAUGAAAGUGAACGGAGGUGGGAAGCGCAAGCUGCACCAUCGACCGAUCCUGAUGUCCUCGGAUGGAUUUGAGUAAGAGCAUAGCUGUUGGGACCCGAAAGAUGGUGAACUAUGCCUGAAUAGGGUGAAGCCAAAGGAAACUCUGGUGGAGGCUCGCAGCGGUUCUGACGUGCAAAUCGAUCGUCAAAUUUGKKAWWGGG